UUUUACCCUCAAAACAUGUCAGAGAUUGAAGCACAUAUUGGAUCCCACUAUGUGGUCCCCCGAAGCAGCUUCGACAGCGUACGGUUUGCCGUCUUUCUGCCCAGCCAAGCGAACAACCUUUCCUGGUGGGUAUAAAUCGUCAACAGAAUUUGUGAUAUAGGACUUCAAAGUCAAAGCAUACCUUUCUUGGCUUUUCUAGGAACGGACCAGCCAAGAUGGGUACAAAGACCGUGAUCCUGUCGUAGUUCGAGAACCUUACGACCAGCCUCCCAUAUACCAGUUUCUGUCACAAAGAGACCACCAGUAACCAAAUGUGCACAUAUCCCAGCGUGUGCAAACCAAGCCGCCACAUCGUGGCUAUUGGCUUGGCCAUUCCCACGGAUAGUGCACCCCCGAACGACACUGUUGAAUCUCUCAUGUCGUUCGGUAGCUUGGUGGAUUACUGGGCCAUACCUCAGCACGUCUCGUAUAACAUGACAGAGGUAAUGGACUUUUGGCUUCUUUGUGAUGAAAUCUGGAUUGAUCUCAUCGAGUAAAUCCUCCGAGUAACACUGAAAUUGGAGGUCUGCUUUGUGACAUACUAUGUAUUUAUCCAAAUUUUUUAUUACCGGGAACCAAAGAUGAG
Molecule: small RNA, 625 nt
Filed under: Cryptococcus neoformans H99
Lineage: Eukaryota; Fungi; Basidiomycota; Tremellomycetes; Tremellales; Cryptococcaceae
Description: Cryptococcus neoformans var. grubii H99 hypothetical RNA
Source: RNAcentral